Molecule: ribosomal RNA, 356 nt
Filed under: uncultured Actinomycetales bacterium
Lineage: Bacteria; Bacillati; Actinomycetota; Actinomycetes; Actinomycetales
Description: bacterial SSU rRNA
Rfam family: Bacterial small subunit ribosomal RNA
Source: RNAcentral
UUCGGGUCGGUGCACAGGUGGUGCAUGGUUGUCGUCAGCUCGUGUCGUGAGAUGUUGGGUUAAGUCCCGCAACGAGCGCAACCCUCGUCCCAUGUUGCCAGCGGGUCGUGCCGGGGACUCAUGGGAGACUGCCGGGGUCAACUCGGAGGAAGGUGGGGAUGACGUCAAAUCAUCAUGCCCCUUAUGUCUUGGGCUUCACGCAUGCUACAAUGGCCGGUACAGAGGGCUGCGAUACCGCGAGGUGGAGCGAAUCCCUAAAAGCCGGUCUCAGUUCGGAUCGGGGUCUGCAACUCGACCCCGUGGAGUCGGAGUCGCUAGUAAUCGCAGAUCAGCAACGCUGCGGUGAAUACGUUCCC